AGAAACCAUUCCCGGUCUAUUGUUUAUUUUAUACUUUUUAUAAUUUGGAUAAAUGUUUUACCUUGUUAAUGAUCAAAUAUGAAAAUGUGAGUCAAAUCAGUGAACAUAAAUUUGACAGCUAGUGCCCCUUUUAUAAAGCUCAUCAUAUACUCAUCAUAUAUACCAGGAUUAAAUUUGUAUUUACGCCAGACGUACGUUUCGUCUAAAAAAGACUUGAAUCAGUGACGCUCGAAUUCAAAAAAACUUAAUUAAAACAGGGCAAAUAUAGGACGAAGUUAAAGAGCAUUGACGAC
Molecule: long non-coding RNA, 293 nt
Filed under: Mytilus galloprovincialis (Mediterranean mussel)
Lineage: Eukaryota; Metazoa; Mollusca; Bivalvia; Mytilida; Mytilidae
Source: RNAcentral